RNAcentral lists this ribosomal RNA (255 nucleotides) under uncultured prokaryote. RNAcentral's name for it is "partial 16S ribosomal RNA". It matches the Rfam family "Bacterial small subunit ribosomal RNA", at positions 522 to 777 of the family's 1533-position model. The record is from RNAcentral.
AAGACGGAGGGUGCUAGCGUUGUUCGGAUUUACUGGGCGUAAAGGGCGCGUAGGCGGCCUGGUCAGUCGGGUGUGAAAGCCCGGGGCUCAACCCCGGAACGGCACCCGAGACGGCCAGGCUGGAGACCGGGAGAGGAGGGUGGAAUAGCCAGUGUGAGGCGAAAUUCGUAGAUAUUGGCUGGAACACCGGUGGCGAAAGCGGCUCUCUGGCCCGGUUCUGACGCUGAGGCGCGAAAGCGUGGGGAGCAAACAGGA